Molecule: transfer-messenger RNA, 353 nt
Filed under: Opitutales
Lineage: Bacteria; Pseudomonadati; Verrucomicrobiota; Opitutia
Also listed under: 1 other name
Description: Merdousia sp023450935 Standard tmRNA
Rfam family: transfer-messenger RNA
About the family: Bacterial tmRNA, also known as 10Sa RNA or SsrA, is named for its dual tRNA and mRNA-like properties.
Source: RNAcentral
GGGGGUGUUCCGGAAUUCGACUGUCGAUCGUAGUUUAUGUCUGCGUGCCGAAGACGACACUUGGCUUCGUAAAAAUGUGUCAAAAAAACUAAUAAAUGGCGAAGAAUACGCUAUUGCUGCUUAAUUAUCGCGGCACGUCCGCUCUCUGAUACCCGAUAGGAGAGAACGGGCGACGACAUCGGGAACAGGGGGUAUCGUCGAUUCUGCGGGGCGGUGCCCGCCGCAAACCGGAGAAUGCCCGCCGCGCGGCUGUCCGAGCCCAACGCGUCGGAAAGAUUAAGUCGGGACUACGCAUGUAGACGGCAUAUCCGAAAGUCUUCAGGACAGGGGUUCGACUCCCCUCACCUCCACCA